This is a long non-coding RNA of Panthera uncia (snow leopard), 596 nucleotides long. RefSeq lists it as uncharacterized. Lineage: Eukaryota; Metazoa; Chordata; Mammalia; Carnivora; Felidae. The transcript has 3 exons. The record is from RefSeq and is a predicted model, not a curated record.
GACUGGGAUGUAACCAUGGUAUAUUCAUAAACUGGUGUUCUGGUUGGUAAAUGAUUCUCUUGUCAGUUUUCUUGGUGUGAGUCAGUGCUCCAGAGUUGGUGAACUCUAGGUGAACUGUUGAGAUCAAGUUUCUGUAUCUGCAAAACUGAAGAUCAGACUUUGGACUGUGGCAACUGAAAAUAGACUGAAUCUGAGAGGUGAAGCCCAGCUAAAAAGAGAGCUCAUCAUCACCCACUAACGGGUCAAAAUCUACAGUUUGAAGAGUCCUGCAAUGUGGAAGGAAUGUGCAAGCAGGAGUGAGAAUCCUGAGUUCCUUGUUGCUCCACUUUUGAAUGGAAACCUGUACUCUCACCAUCAAACCAAGGUGAUAGGAUUAAAUCAGAUCAUCUCCACGGCCUCUGUUUCAGUGGAUUGAGGAUUUCCCACCUUGAUACUGGUGAUUUUUCCUCAUCAGGAUUCUGUGACGGGGCACCUGUCUUAGCAGACGACCAGAAAACUCAACACAGGACCAUUGUGCACUUACCUUCUCUGCCAAGGAAAAAAAAAGGUAACGGUUUAAGCAUACUUCCCUUCCACUCUACACUUUAUCACUAUAC